This is a long non-coding RNA of Thalassophryne amazonica, 149 nucleotides long. RefSeq lists it as uncharacterized. The record is from RefSeq and is a predicted model, not a curated record. The transcript has 3 exons. NCBI's taxonomy places the organism in Eukaryota, Metazoa, Chordata, Actinopteri, Batrachoidiformes, Batrachoididae.
GGUUGAGUAAUAAUUUUUUGCAAAGAGCCAAAUGAGAAACAGAAAAUAUUGUGGAGGGCCAAAAGGUUAAACUCAAGUGUGCAAUAAUAAUUUUAUUCCUAUAUAAAAUGCUAGUAAAUAGCAUUGUUUUGACUAACUGUGAUGUUCUU